Molecule: non-coding RNA, 219 nt
Organism: Pelobates cultripes (western spadefoot toad)
Lineage: Eukaryota; Metazoa; Chordata; Amphibia; Anura; Pelobatidae
Source: the annotation of a GenBank genome assembly
GGUUAUAGAGCCUGGGGAGGGUUUAAAUGAAUUCCCUUGUUCGUGGGGUUCUUUCUACCGAACGGCGGGUUAUUCGGUAGUUUCCACACGAAUUCAUGGUAGUCUGGAGGUCUCAGCGGUGUUUCCCUAGUCGAGUGUCCGAUUUUAGUUCCAGACACUCGACGGCAAAACACCGCUGUUCGGGAGUUUAAGAUGGCCGCCGCCACGUGUUCGUUUCCC